AUGCCAGCAAUUCAGUAGGAAUUAGCACGUUCCACAUCAAUUCUCCAAGACUGAAAAUGGAAUUAUGACCUUCCAGGUGUUUCUGAAGUAUUUGAUCAAAUCAUCGAGAAAGAACUAUUCCUGUGACAAAGGCUGGAUCUGAGAGAGUCCCCAGACAGGCGUUAUUCUGAAGGACAGAUACAGUAAGCAGCAGAAAUAAUUCGUAAUUCUUACUUUAUUCUUAAAACAUUUAAGACCCCCAUCAGAACAUGCAAUAGAAAUGCUGUUUGAGAGGACGUGUUACUGAUGCUUAACACUGCUGGCUUUUGGAGUGGUAGAACUUAGAAAAGAGUUUAAAGAAUUUUAAGGUUAAAGAAUUACCUGCCUGAAAUUGUGAAAAUUCAUUUCACUUUAUUUUCCUUUUCCUGUUAAAAUUAAGUACCAACACUUCUAAAUUACACUGACGUCUUCCUGUAUUUACUGUACCUGCUGUGUUCUUCUACCUUUCACUUCUGGGUGAAAUGGGUGAAAUGGAAGAGUCACUGACAUGAGGCACUGCUAAACAUGAAAAUUGUUAAAAAUAAAUAUCUGAACUUGAAGAGUUCUUAAAAAUAA
Molecule: long non-coding RNA, 594 nt
Filed under: Anas platyrhynchos platyrhynchos (common mallard)
Lineage: Eukaryota; Metazoa; Chordata; Aves; Anseriformes; Anatidae
Description: lncRNA (ENSAPLG00000020147.1)
Source: RNAcentral